CGCGGCGAGGAGGAGGACGAGGAGCGCGCGAGGAAGAGGGCAGAAACGCGUCGAAUGUGCGGCUUUAAUUCACCUCAAACGAUUUCUGCAACACGAGGACGUGGCAGAAGAUUCAGUUCUUCACGAGGACGUAUGAAUGCAGAUCUCGAUGAGAGGAUCCGCUGUGGAUCAUAACUGUGGAUUUGUUUUAACAACCGACGUGGAAGGAAAAGUUUUCGUGGGAGUCUGCCUUUGGAUGAAAGAAGCUGCAACACGUCCAGGAGUUUGCCAACAAGACAAACGGGCGCCAUUAAACACUCGCUCGCCUUCAGAUCGUCGGUGACGAAGCAAAGUCGAGGCUGGUGGAGUUGACAAGGACGGAGAUGCGGCGGCCGCUUCAAGGUUAACGCACACUGGAGGGAGUGUGUGGAGUGUGAACAGUGGAGGAAGCGUCGCGACCUGUGUCACGUGUUUGUGUAUCAACACUUUUAACAUGCACCACAUUUUGUAUCAGCACCAAAAGAUGAAACCAAUCUUAUAAAAUCAUUAAAUUACAUCUUUCCCGUU
Molecule: long non-coding RNA, 546 nt
Organism: Betta splendens (Siamese fighting fish)
Lineage: Eukaryota; Metazoa; Chordata; Actinopteri; Anabantiformes; Osphronemidae
Exons: 3
Source: RefSeq, a predicted model, not a curated record